UUGGUUGGUGUGAGAAUUAGGCUCU
RNAcentral lists this non-coding RNA (25 nucleotides) under Rattus norvegicus (Norway rat). Lineage: Eukaryota; Metazoa; Chordata; Mammalia; Rodentia; Muridae. The record is from RNAcentral.